UUCAGUAAACUCAUUCCCUCCAUCUUUCUCUCUCCACAUUUCACAAUUUCUUCUCAAAACCUUCACUUUCUUACUUCAAUCUCUUCUUCUUGGUUUUUAAGAAAACCCCUUUUAUCAAGUUUCCUUCUUUACACCAAAACACAAGUCUUUUUCCAUUCUACUUCACUCUCAUCACAAUUCCCCUGUUCAAUUUCAGAGGAUUUUUGCUUAAAUUUUGUUUCUAAUUGUAACUCAAAGUUCUUGAAAGAGGGUAUUUGUGUUCAUAGUUUUAUUAUAAAGU
This 280-nucleotide long non-coding RNA is filed under the name Aquilegia coerulea. RNAcentral's name for it is "long non-coding RNA (ACOE_LNC000380)". The record is from RNAcentral. Lineage: Eukaryota; Viridiplantae; Streptophyta; Magnoliopsida; Ranunculales; Ranunculaceae.